AAAAGCAGGGGAUCGCAAGACCUUGCGCUUUUGGAGCGGCCGAUGUCUGAUUAGCUAGUUGGUGAGGUAAAGGCUUACCAAGCCUUCGAUCUGUAGCUGGUCUGAGAGGACGACCAGCCACACUGGGACUGAGACACGGCCCAGACUCCUACGGGAGGCAGCAGUGGGGAAUUUUGGACAAUGGGGGAAACCCUGAUCCAGCCAUGCCGCGUGAGUGAAGAAGGCCUUCGGGUUGUAAAGCUCUUUCAGCCGGAACGAAAAGGUCACGGCUAAUACCCANGACUAAUGACGGUACCGGAAGAAGAAG
Molecule: ribosomal RNA, 307 nt
Filed under: uncultured beta proteobacterium E25_pH7/50/FL
Lineage: Bacteria; Pseudomonadati; Pseudomonadota; Betaproteobacteria
Description: bacterial SSU rRNA
Rfam family: Bacterial small subunit ribosomal RNA
Source: RNAcentral